This 406-nucleotide ribosomal RNA is filed under the name uncultured bacterium. RNAcentral describes it as "partial 16S ribosomal RNA". It matches the Rfam family "Bacterial small subunit ribosomal RNA", at positions 30 to 526 of the family's 1533-position model. The record is from RNAcentral.
AUUGAACGCUGGCGGCAGGCCUAACACAUGCAAGUCGAACGAGUGGCGGACGGGUGAGUAAUGUCUGGGAAACUGCCCGAUGGAGGGGGAGAAAUACUUGAAAAGGUAGCUUAUACCGCAUACUAUCGUAUGUGCCCAGGUGGGAUUAGCUAGUGGGUGGGUUAAUGGCUCACCUAGGCGACGAUCCCUAGCGGGUCUGAGAGGAUGACCAGCCACACUGGAACUGAGACACGGUCCAGACUCCGAAGGGAGGAAGAAGUGGGGAAUAUUGGACAAGGGGCGCAAGCCUGAUGCAGCCAUGCCGCGUGUAUGAAGAAGGCCUUCGGGUUGUAAAGUACUUUCGUCGGGGAGGCGUUACCCGCAGAAGAAGCACCGGCUAACUACGUGCCAGCAGCCGCGGUAAUUC